Zingiber officinale is the source of this 775-nucleotide long non-coding RNA. RefSeq lists it as uncharacterized. Lineage: Eukaryota; Viridiplantae; Streptophyta; Magnoliopsida; Zingiberales; Zingiberaceae. The record is from RefSeq and is a predicted model, not a curated record. The transcript has 2 exons.
AGUCAACACACACGACCACGAAGAUCAAACAGAACCCUCCCCCGGCCAUUUCAAUCGCACCUCUUCUCCGUCCCCAAUUCCAAUCCCUCGUCGAUCCAUCCUUCUUCGAGAUUUCUUGGCAUCGGAGGCUAUCGAGGAUCCACGAUUGCCACCGGCGAAGCUCCGAUCUGAUCCGGUCCGGAUGCCCUCGGGCGGAGGAGGCGGAUCGAUUCGCUCGACUUCGCGGAUGCUUGCCUGAUCGGUGGGCGCAGUAGCUUAUUCGGUUUUGUUUUGUUUGGAUCUGGUCUGUAAAGAUGAUAACGCGAUCAAAUCUCGCGGAGCAGCUGCGGGAGUACCAGGCGCGCUCCACCCACGAGUGGGCUAUCGUCUCCUUCUUCACAUCCUCCCGACAUGAACGCAGGGUGGACGUGAUACUUGUGAUGUGGGAGCUGUUGAUGUUUGCUUUAAUUGUUUUCUCGGGGGUGGCUUUGUAUUUCCGGUACAUGAAGGUUGCUUUGGCCCUAAUGUUUCUUACUUUUGUUAUGCUUGUCGGCAUGAGAGUAACAAGACAAGUAAGAAGGAACAGGAAGAUGAAGAGAAAGAUGCUCCUUCCUUUGUCAAUGUAAAAUUGUAGGGGCGUCGUUGGCAUUUCAGUGCUUAUAUGAAUUUGUUUAAAGGAUUUUUGCCGACAAAUCUUGUAGCUUCCUUGCAAAGAGAGUUACAUUUUUUUAGUAUCAAGCUAACAUUUUUUUGGCUGAAAAGAAUUACAGCAUAAUGCAGAUAUAGGUUUUGACUU